RNAcentral lists this transfer RNA (67 nucleotides) under Danaea nodosa. RNAcentral's name for it is "partial tRNA-Ser". Lineage: Eukaryota; Viridiplantae; Streptophyta; Polypodiopsida; Marattiales; Marattiaceae. The record is from RNAcentral.
AAAUAAUUUUUAUCUCUUUUUUUUUGGAGAGAUGGCCGAGAGGAUUAAAGCGUCGGAUUGCUAAUCC